GUAGUAUUUGUAGUUCAACUAGCCAUAACAAAACCACUCACCAUCAGAAUCUACCUCAAAAGGAAAAACCCCUAUCAAGAGGUAAAGGAAGACCAAGAAAAAUACAUAACCAAGACCCUGCAGUUGCUGCUGAUGAAGCAAAAGUAGCUACAAGAGUUAGGAGAAAGCUUGCAUAUGCAAGGGCAAAGGCUGUUGCUGCUGCAAAGAAGGCUGCACUAAAUGCUUCCCAGCCAAAUGUAGCUGAAACUGUUGGAAUAGGAUUGAAAGCAUCCAAGAGACAAAGAACAUAGACUCUUAGUUCUUAGUUUAUGCAAAUUCCAUUUUAUUUUGAACUAGGACAACUUUUGGUUUUGUGAUGUGGCCAUUUUGUCAACUUUUGGUAGCUGUUUUAUUAUAUUCCAUAUUAGGUGCUCAUGUUCAUUUUGUAAAUUUGAGUUGCAAAGGUUGGAAAAAUAUGUAUGUAUUUUGAACUCAAAAUAUAAUGGAAUUUGCCUUCAAGCAAUUGUUC
This is a long non-coding RNA of Prunus persica (peach), 508 nucleotides long. RefSeq lists it as uncharacterized. Lineage: Eukaryota; Viridiplantae; Streptophyta; Magnoliopsida; Rosales; Rosaceae. The transcript has 2 exons. The record is from RefSeq and is a predicted model, not a curated record.